This 834-nucleotide ribosomal RNA is filed under the name Limosilactobacillus reuteri. RNAcentral's name for it is "bacterial SSU rRNA". It matches the Rfam family "Bacterial small subunit ribosomal RNA", at positions 62 to 864 of the family's 1533-position model. The record is from RNAcentral. Lineage: Bacteria; Bacillati; Bacillota; Bacilli; Lactobacillales; Lactobacillaceae.
CCAACUAAUUGAUGGUGCUUGCUGAAUUGACGAUGGAUCACCAGUGAGUGGCGGACGGGUGAGUAACACGUAGGUAACCUGCCCCGGAGCGGGGAAUAACAUUUGGAAACAGAUGCUAAUACCGCAUAACAACAAAAGCCGCAUGGUUUUUGUUGGAAAGAUGGCUUUGGCUAUCACUCUGGGAUGGACCUGCGGUGCAUUUAGCUAGUUGGUAAGGUAACGGCUUACCCAAGGCGAUGAUGCAUAGCCGAGUUGAGAGACUGAUCGGCCACAAUGGGAACUGAGACACGGUCCAUAACUUCUACGGGAGGCAGCAGUAGGGAAUCUUCCACAAUGGGCGCAAGCCUGAUGGAGCAACACCGCGUUAUUAAAAAAGGGUUUCGGCCGCUAAAGCUCUGUUGUUGGAGAAGAACGUGCGUUAGAGUAACUGUUACGCAGUGACGGUAUCCAACCAGAAAGUCACGGCUAACUACGUGCCAGCAGCCGCGGUAAUACGUAGGUGGCAAGCGUUAUCCGGAUUUAUUGGGCGUAAAGCGAGCGCAGGCGGUUGCUUAGGUCUGAUGUGAAAGCCUUCGGCUUAACCGAAGAAGUGCAUCGGAAACCGGGCGACUUGAGUGCAGAAGAGGACAGUGGAACUCCAUGUGUAGCGGUGGAAUGCGUAGAUAUAUGGAAGAACACCAGUGGCGAAGGCGGCUGUCUGGUCUGCAACUGACGCUGAGGCUCGAAAGCAUGGGUAGCGAACAGGAUUAGAUACCCUGGUAGUCCAUGCCGUAAACGAUGAGUGCUAGGGGUUGGAGGGUUUCCGCCCUUCAGUGCCUGUUCUAACGCAUUAAU